AGACACGAGGUGCGUGGUCAUGCGUUGUCGUCAGCUCGUGUCGUGAGAUGUUGGGUUAAGUCCCGCAACGAGCGCAACCCUUGUCAUUAGUUGCCAUCAUUUGGUUGGGCACUCUAAUGAGACUGCCGGUGACAAACCGGAGGAAGGUGGGGAUGACGUCAAGUCCUCAUGGCCCUUAUGGGUAGGGCUUCACACGUCAUACAAUGGUCGGUACAGAGGGUUGCCAACCCGCGAGGGGGAGCUAAUCCCACAAAGCCGAUCGUAGUCCGGAUCGCAGUCUGCAACUCGACUGCGUGAAGUCGGAAUCGCUAGUAAUCGUGGAUCAGCAUGUCACGGUGAAUACGUUCCCGGGUCUU
Molecule: ribosomal RNA, 356 nt
Filed under: uncultured Rhodocyclaceae bacterium
Lineage: Bacteria; Pseudomonadati; Pseudomonadota; Betaproteobacteria; Rhodocyclales; Rhodocyclaceae
Description: bacterial SSU rRNA
Rfam family: Bacterial small subunit ribosomal RNA
Source: RNAcentral